RNAcentral lists this ribosomal RNA (253 nucleotides) under uncultured bacterium. RNAcentral's name for it is "partial 16S ribosomal RNA". It matches the Rfam family "Bacterial small subunit ribosomal RNA", at positions 524 to 776 of the family's 1533-position model. The record is from RNAcentral.
UACGUAGGGUGCGAGCGUUAAUCGGAAUUACUGGGCGUAAAGCGCGCGUAGGCGGUUCGGUAAGUGGGAUGUGAAAGCCCUGGGCUCAACCUGGGAACUGCAUUCCAAACUGCCGAGCUAGAGUGUGGUAGAGGGAGGUAGAAUUUCCUGUGUAGCGGUGAAAUGCGUAGAUAUAGGAAGGAAUACCAGUGGCGAAGGCGGCCUCCUGGAUCAACACUGACGCUGAGGUGCGAAAGCGUGGGGAGCAAACAGG